This 944-nucleotide non-coding RNA is filed under the name Talonostrea talonata. RNAcentral describes it as "Crassostrea talonata 12S ribosomal RNA". The stretch from base 161 to 943 matches the Rfam family "Microsporidia small subunit ribosomal RNA". The record is from RNAcentral. Lineage: Eukaryota; Metazoa; Mollusca; Bivalvia; Ostreida; Ostreidae.
GAAAUAUUUGGUUCUGGUAUACUGUUAGCUAUAGAGUUUUUUACAUUACACAAUGUAGGAUAAUUUCAUAAUGUAAGACAAUCUGUUUCACGUGAUAAGCUAAUAGAUAGCUGCCUUAAUGGCCAUAUGUAGUAACAGUAGCAUAAGCUUUAGGCGAUGACGCAAGAAUAACUACAACUCAAGUGGGUAGAUCUGGAAAUCAAUGAGUUUUGGCUUGAAACGAAUAAAAAACUAAUUAUAUUGAAGCUAAGGAGGGUGCCAGCAGCUGCGGUCAUUCCCUCUAUCAACGAGCUAACAAGGGUGCAGCUUAGAGGCAGUUAGUCAACUUAGGGGGGCAAGACAUACAGUAAGGACAAUGGGUGAAAUCUCAGUCUUACGGGAGGUCCAAAUCUUGCAUAAAGAUGAGUCUGCGAAGUUAUAGGGUAUAGACCCGGAUUUGGUACCCGGUUAUUCCAUAAUGUUAAGUAUAAUUACCUUAAAGAAUUGGUAGUUUGCUAGGGGUACUACGAGCAACUGCUUAAAACUCGAAGAACUUGGCGGUUCCGCAAAACCAUCCAGAGGCUCUUGGCGCUUAAUCCGAUGAUCCGCGAGAUAUCUUACCUGCCCGAUAGAAAGCAGUGUACUGCCGUCGAAAGCUUAUAAUGUGAGUAGAUGGGAAUAGGCUUAAUCUUGGAGUCUUGAGAAAUUGAAACUUUACCGAGGCUAGGUCAGGUCGUAGUGCUCUUUAUGGGCAAGGGGUAAGCUGAGAGACAACUAUUUUAGACAUACAAAGGCUUUAAGGAUGAAACUCUUUUAGCGUAUACUAGGAUUUGGGAGUAAAAAAAGAGUAACUCGUUUUUUUGAAAUGACGCAACUGCGGUGCGUUCAAAUCGCCCGUCACCCUAGCCGAAAGGAGAGGUAAGUCGUAACAUGGUAAGGGUAGGGGAACUUGCUCUUUUAAUACA